UAAUACGAAGGGGGCUAGCGUUGCUCGGAAUCACUGGGCGUAAAGCGCACGUAGGCGGCUUCUUAAGUCAGGGGUGAAAUCCUGGAGCUCGACUCCAGAACUGCCCUUGAUACUGAGGAGCUUGAGUCCGGGAGAGGUGAGUGGAACUGCGAGUGUAGAGGUGGAAUUCGUAGAUAUUCGCAAGAACACCAGUGGCGAAGGCGGCUCACUGGCCCGAGACUGACGCUGAGGUGCGAAAGCGUGGGGAGCAAACAGG
This 256-nucleotide ribosomal RNA is filed under the name uncultured prokaryote. RNAcentral describes it as "partial 16S ribosomal RNA". It matches the Rfam family "Bacterial small subunit ribosomal RNA", at positions 521 to 776 of the family's 1533-position model. The record is from RNAcentral.